This 253-nucleotide ribosomal RNA is filed under the name uncultured bacterium. RNAcentral's name for it is "partial 16S ribosomal RNA". It matches the Rfam family "Bacterial small subunit ribosomal RNA", at positions 524 to 776 of the family's 1533-position model. The record is from RNAcentral.
UACGUAGGGUGCGAGCGUUAAUCGGAAUUACUGGGCGUAAAGCGUGCGCAGGCGGUUUUGUAAGCCAGAUGUGAAAUCCCCGGGCUCAACCUGGGAAUGGCAUUUGGGACUGCAAGGCUUGAGUGCGGCAGAGGAGACUGGAAUUCCUGGUGUAGCAGUGAAAUGCGUAGAUAUCGCUUGGAACGCCGAAGGUGAAAACAGGUCGCUGGGGACGCGCCGACGCUGAGACACGAAAGCCAGGGGAGCAAACGGG